RNAcentral lists this unclassified non-coding RNA (194 nucleotides) under plant metagenome. RNAcentral's name for it is "partial contains small subunit ribosomal RNA and internal transcribed spacer 1". The stretch from base 1 to 46 matches the Rfam family "Eukaryotic small subunit ribosomal RNA", at positions 1786 to 1831 of the family's 1831-position model. The record is from RNAcentral.
UAGUCGUAACAAGGUUUCCGUAGGUGAACCUGCGGAAGGAUCACUAAAGUAACGCCCUCCGGGGCUCUCUUUAUUCACACACCCCUUGUGCACUUUGGCCACCUGCCGCGCUUCACUGCGUUAGUAGGUGUGUCUUUAUAAUUAUACCCAUAUACACAAGUCAUUGAAUGUAAAAUCGUUAUAAACUAAUAUAA